UACUGAGGAUGUGAGCGUUAUCCGGAUUUAUUGGGUUUAAAGGGUGCGUAGGCGGGCAUUUAAGUCAGUGGUGAAAAGCUGCCGCUUAACGGUAGUCUUGCCAUUGAUACUUUUUGUCUUGAGUUUGUUUGAGGUAGGCGGAAUGUGCAGUGUAGCGGUGAAAUGCAUAGAUAUUGCACGGAACUCCGAUUGCGUAGGCAGCUUACUAGACCAAUACUGACGCUCAUGCACGAAAGCGUGGGGAUCAAACAGGAUUA
RNAcentral lists this ribosomal RNA (257 nucleotides) under uncultured prokaryote. Its description in RNAcentral is "partial 16S ribosomal RNA". It matches the Rfam family "Bacterial small subunit ribosomal RNA", at positions 524 to 780 of the family's 1533-position model. The record is from RNAcentral.